ACAAUGAUACUUCCGUCCGCAAGGGCGGCCCGGCGAGAACCGCGGGGAGGCUGGAACCCUAUGG
This 64-nucleotide non-coding RNA is filed under the name unclassified sequences. RNAcentral's name for it is "pemK RNA". It matches the Rfam family "pemK RNA". The record is from RNAcentral.